UGAGUCUUAAAUCAUAAGAAAAAAAAUCUAGAAUCUGAUUAAGUUGUGGAAAUGACCUUAAAUGAACCAUUGGAGUCUUGUAUAAAAAAAAUGUCUUGCAUAGAAAUGUGGCUGGGUGAUGUGGGACAAACUGUUUUACCCUAUAUUGCAGGUCUGGUCAAACCUAAUCUAAGUACAACCUAAAAUAAUUAAACUAUAAGUAACCCCUUUUACCAAAAUGUUCGUUACGAAAACUUUAAUUUCAAGAUAAUGACAAAACUUAACUACCAAGAGAGACAAAAAAUUAUCUGAAUAUCUAUAAAACAAGGGACAGAGUGUAUUCAUUUUCAAGGUCUGAAUACUUUUACGGAAAUGAUACCUUAACCAUUCUAAAGACAAAUGUUUGGAACUUAUUCAUUUGAAAAGAUGUCUUUGACAAUUUGUAUAACAAAUACAACACCGUCCCACUCUUUAUAAAAAUAAGAAGAUAUGGAAUGAUUGCCAAUGAGACGAAAUGAUGCAGAUGGUUAGAAGCUAUAAAUCUUUUCAUAUGGCCUUCAACAAUGAGCAAAACCCAUACUGCAUAACACGCUAUAAAGUUUCAACAAAUGAGAAAUGUAAAACAAUUAAAACAAGAAAACUACUG
This 625-nucleotide long non-coding RNA is filed under the name Mytilus galloprovincialis (Mediterranean mussel). The record is from RNAcentral. Lineage: Eukaryota; Metazoa; Mollusca; Bivalvia; Mytilida; Mytilidae.